RNAcentral lists this long non-coding RNA (1359 nucleotides) under Bos indicus x Bos taurus (hybrid cattle). RNAcentral describes it as "lncRNA (ENSBIXG00000030255.1)". The record is from RNAcentral. Lineage: Eukaryota; Metazoa; Chordata; Mammalia; Artiodactyla; Bovidae.
UGCAGGACGCUGGGCUUCCGUGUCCAUCACCAACUCCAGGGGCUUGCUCAAACUCAUGUCCAUCGAAUCAGUGAUGCCAUCCAACCAUCUUAGCCUCUGUCGUCCCCUUCUCCUCUGCCUUCAAUCAAGACUCUCAUAGGCAGAUAUUUUCGAGUGUAAUUAGUGUUCAUAGUUUAUCUAAAAGCUCAUAUCACAUUUAAUUUUUCGUUUUGUUCCUGUUCUUUCGAGGUACUUUCUCGUUGACAAGCUUGUGACAGAUAGAACGAUAUAGCAAUUUUUACCUUAGAACAAACCGAGGCACUAUGAACAUUUUGUGCUUCAUGUUGAUGACUCUUAGACAUGUCUACAGUAGAGGAGCAAAAACAAAACUACUAGAUAUUUCAUAUUGACUAGUUCCCAGUUCACGGGACUCUGACAUUCCCUGAGGUCAAAGUUUUCUUGUAUUGGAAGCAGUUGGGUUUGCAAGGGCUGCCUUGUCUUGAGACCAUUGAAAUAAGAACUCAGAACUUGAGCACUAUUAUCAAAAAUCACAAGGCUCACACUGACACAGACAUCAAUCCAGACAGACAAGACAAGACAUCUUCCAGUUUUCCGCCUGAGAUGGAAAAGAUUUCUUUGAGCCGUUUUUUCUGGGGAGUGGGGGGUGGGGCUGGCGGCCAGGCAGGCUUUGGGAAGGAGCUCAGGGUUUGGAAUUGCAUAUGAAAAGAACCAGCUUUCCGGGUUCCAAGGAAUCAAGUUUCCUUGGAAACCAACUUUGUCCGGUUCUAUAGAAUAUCAUGGCCCUCCUAGGUCAGGUCGUCUUUCCUUUCCGUAGCCCUCGUUGGAUCCCUGAAUUCUAGACAGCUUGGAUUGCCUCUGUGGGCUGGAUGGAUUGUCCUCCCGUUUCACCGGGCGGCGGGAGCGAGGUCCCAGAGGCUCUCCUGGAACCGGGCGUGGGGGCGGGGCUCACCGGGAGCCCGUGGUGAAGAAAAGAUUCCGAAAAAUGAGGGAAACAGGAAGCCCCAGAGGUGCCCCUGUAGUUUGGCGAAGGCUAGGAGGUCACUUGGAAAUGCGCUGGCUGUGAGGGGGGAGGGGGCAGAUGUGCACAGAGCUGUGCAGGCUGUCCUUUGCAUGGAUGUUCUUUGUAGAAAUCCACCUCGGAGCCAUCUCCUGAUGUGUAAGAAUUUCCCAGACCAAACCUUGAGCUAAGCAAUGCGUUUUUUCCUUAGGAAAUGUUGGUCUUCAGCGAUGUUCAAAGCCUGUGUAUUUCCGCUAGACUCUGGCUUCAGGUCGGUUCCCCCAAAAGGCUCCGAAGCGACCUGAACCAAACAGUAAGUUUUCCUCCUACCUUGUUCUCCUCAUCUAGUUAAGAGUAUACUU